AUGGCCAAAUGCUGCCUGCUGCUGCUCCUCUUCUUGGGGUUUCUCUUGCCCGAGGCGCACGCAGCUUUGUGCCACCCCGACGACCUUCGCGCAUUGCAAGACUCUGUUGGGAACCUCCGCGCCGGGGGUGUCCUCAUCCAUGCCAUGUGGUUCGGCGGCACGUGCUGCAGCUGGGAAGGCGUGGGCUGUGACGCCGCUAGCGAAAAACAAACGGGGCCCAUACCAGGAACCUCCCUUGUAGGCCUUGCGCGGCUCGAGGAGCUCGACCUCGGCUCCAACGGCUUUCACAACAUCUCAGGGGUGCUCACAAUAUUGCGUGGGUGCCAGAACCUCACCAUGCUGAUUCUCACCAAGAAUUUUGGUGGUGAGGAGCUACCCGACGGUGGGGCAGGGUUCCGGAAUGGUUGUCUCAAUGCAAGAAAAUGGAGGUGCUUGAUUUGUCCGGCAACCAAUUGGUGGGCACCAUCCCAUCGUGGAUUGGUGAGCUUCACCACCUUUGCUACUUGGAUCUCUCAAACAAUUUCAUUGGUUGGCGACGCACCUAAGAGUUUGGCACCACUAAAGGGGUUUGCCACCGGCGGGUGUUCACUGGGCAUGGUUUUCAGUAACAUGCCAUCAUAUGUGAAGCAUAACAGAAGCACACUUGGACGGCGACUUAGCGAGCUCCCAAAUGUCAUAACAGGGACCAAUAACUUUGUGACAUUAGGGAGCAACAAUGUUGUAUCCGGGAAUGCCAACGAUGUCAUAUAUGGGGAUGAAAACACCGUAUCUGGGAACAACCAUGCCGUAUAUGGGAAUGAAAACAUUGUAUCAGGGAACAACCAUGUGGUAUCUGGGAGCAAGCAUGUGGUAUCUGGUAGCAGGCAUGGUGUAACUGGGAGAGGCAGUGUGGUAUCCGGCCGGGUUCAAGAAUGGCGUAUCUGGAAUCAACCAUGUCGUAUCUGGUAG
This 948-nucleotide ribosomal RNA is filed under the name Triticum aestivum (bread wheat). Its description in RNAcentral is "partial small subunit ribosomal RNA". The record is from RNAcentral. Lineage: Eukaryota; Viridiplantae; Streptophyta; Magnoliopsida; Poales; Poaceae.